CCCUUGGUUAAGAUUAAGGUUUUUAUGAAUAUAAAAAGAAACACCGACUUCUGGCUUGAGGGGGUUGACUACGGAUUAUCUCCUUAUUUUUCUAGUGUUUGGGGAGUGAAAUAAUGCCUUACAUCGUCAGCUAGGUCUUACUAUGAAAAGCAUACAUCAGCAAAUUCAGUUGUUUUAUUACAUAAUUCUCCCUUAAGUUUG
RNAcentral lists this long non-coding RNA (201 nucleotides) under Lathyrus oleraceus (garden pea). RNAcentral describes it as "Pisum sativum (pea) long non-coding RNA (PSAT_LNC018559)". The record is from RNAcentral. Lineage: Eukaryota; Viridiplantae; Streptophyta; Magnoliopsida; Fabales; Fabaceae.